RNAcentral lists this ribosomal RNA (453 nucleotides) under uncultured bacterium. RNAcentral's name for it is "bacterial SSU rRNA". It matches the Rfam family "Bacterial small subunit ribosomal RNA", at positions 340 to 786 of the family's 1533-position model. The record is from RNAcentral.
UACGGGAGGCAGCAGUGGGGAAUAUUGCACAAUGGGCGCAAGCCUGAUGCAGCCAUGCCGCGUGUAUGAAGAAGGCCUUCGGGUUGUAAAGUACCUUUCAGUCGUGAGGAAGGUGUUAAGGUUAAUAACCUUAGCAAUUGACGUUAGCGACAGAAGAAGCACCGGCUAACUCCGUGCCAGCAGCCGCGGUAAUACGGAGGGUGCGAGCGUUAAUCGGAAUUACUGGGCGUAAAGGGCACGCAGGCGGUUAAUAAGUUGGAUGUGAAAUCCCCGGGCUUAACCUGGGAAUGGCAUUCAAGACUGGUUAGCUAGAGUCUUGUAGAGGGGGUAGAAUUCCAUGUGUAGCGGUGAAAUGCGUAGAGAUGUGGAGGAAUACCGGUGGCGAAGGCGGCCCCUGGGACAAAGACUGACGCUCAUGUGCGAAAGCGUGGGGAGCAAACAGGAUUAGAUACC